CCUACGGGAGGCAGCAGUGGGGAAUCUUGCGCAAUGGGCGAAAGCCUGACGCAGCAACGCCGCGUGCGGGAUGAAGGCCUUCGGGCUGUAAACCGCUUUCAGCAGGAACGAAAAUGACGGUACCUGCAGAAGAAGGAGCGGCCAACUACGUGCCAGCAGCCGCGGUGACACGUAGGCUCCAAGCGUUGUCCGGAUUUAUUGGGCGUAAAGAGCUCGUAGGCGGUCUAAUAAGUCGGGUGUGAAAACUCUGGGCUCAACCCGGAGACGCCAUCCGAUACUGUUAUGACUUGAGUUCAGGAGGGGAGCGGGGAAUUCCUAGUGUAGCGGUGAAAUGCGCAGAUAUUAGGAGGAACACCGGUGGCGAAGGCGCCGCUCUGGACUGAAACUGACGCUGAGGAGCGAAAGCAUGGGUAGCAAACAGGAUUAGAUACCCUGGUAGUCCAUGCCGUAAACGGUGGGCACUAGGUGUGGGUUUCAACUACGAAAUCCGCGCCGUCGCUAACGCAUUAAGUGCCCCGCCGUCGGGUAGGUACGGUCGCGAGACGUAAACCUACAACGGAAGUUAGACGGCGUGAGACGUGCCGACGGACGACCGACGAGGGAGGUAGG
This 609-nucleotide ribosomal RNA is filed under the name uncultured bacterium. RNAcentral's name for it is "bacterial SSU rRNA". The stretch from base 1 to 520 matches the Rfam family "Bacterial small subunit ribosomal RNA", at positions 338 to 873 of the family's 1533-position model. The record is from RNAcentral.